AGGGAUGUAGCGCAGCUUGGUAGCGCGUUUGUUUUGGGUACAAAAUGUCACGGGUUCAAAUCCUAUGAACAGUAACAAUAUAUCACAAUAUAUAUUGUGAUAUAUUGAUAUAGUAUAUGCAUGCAAGAUGUAUUGGGGUCUCAUAAAAUUAUUUAUGAGAAUAAAGCGCUCUUAGUUCAGUUCGGUAGAACGCGGGUCUCCAAAACCCGAUGUCGUAGGUUCAAAUCCUACAGAGCGUGAUUCCAUUCUUGUUAGAUCCAGACAGAACGACACUGCG
Lupinus albus (white lupine) is the source of this 277-nucleotide non-coding RNA. Lineage: Eukaryota; Viridiplantae; Streptophyta; Magnoliopsida; Fabales; Fabaceae. The record is from the annotation of a GenBank genome assembly.